CAGUCGCCGCGGUAAUACGUAGGGUGCGAGCGUUAAUCGGAAUUACUGGGCGUAAAGCGUGCGCAGGCGGUUGUACAAGACAGAUGUGAAAUCCCCGGGCUUAACCUGGGAAUGGCAUUUGUGACUGUACGGCUAGAGUGUGUCAGAGGGGGGUAGAAUUCCACGUGUAGCAGUGAAAUGCGUAGAUAUGUGGAGGAAUACCGAUGGCGAAGGCAGCCCCCUGGGAUAACACUGACGCUCAUGCACGAAAGCGUGGGGAGCAAACAGGAUUAGAUACCCGCGUAGUCCCUGUCUCUUAUAC
RNAcentral lists this ribosomal RNA (301 nucleotides) under uncultured bacterium. Its description in RNAcentral is "partial 16S ribosomal RNA". It matches the Rfam family "Bacterial small subunit ribosomal RNA", at positions 509 to 807 of the family's 1533-position model. The record is from RNAcentral.